Non-coding RNA from Potamilus streckersoni, 72 nucleotides. The record is from the annotation of a GenBank genome assembly. NCBI's taxonomy places the organism in Eukaryota, Metazoa, Mollusca, Bivalvia, Unionida, Unionidae.
UCCAUUGGCCUAGUGGUUAGAGCGUCCGCUUCGGAUGCGAGAGGUCGUUGGUUCGAUCCCCGAUCGACUCAU